Homo sapiens (human) is the source of this 1131-nucleotide long non-coding RNA. The record is from Ensembl. Lineage: Eukaryota; Metazoa; Chordata; Mammalia; Primates; Hominidae.
CAGCUCAUGUUCCCUGGGCGUCUCAGGGUUGAGGCCGCUCGUGUGGCGUGGCCGGGGGUAUUCAGAGCGGAGCUGGCGACGUGGCUUGUCACGGGCCAAAUCCCAGGAGGCGGGUCAGCCGCCUACCCUGGCUGGAGGGUCUCGUGGCUGCCCUGGGCCUCAUCUAACUGCUGAUCCCCUGGAGAAUUCGCUUUCUCGGACGGUCUGCGAGUUCUUUCUGAGGGGUGUCGGACCCCCCUGCGACUCUGCAGGUGUCGGUGUGGCACUGAGAUCAUCUUGCGGCCCCAUGGCACUGUGAUUUGGUAGCUUGUGAGAAGUAGUUUCACUAAAUCCGUAAAUUUAAGUUAGCAGCUACAGAUUCUUAUGUCUUGACAUUUAUUCGCUUAUCUCUCUUUGCUCCCCACAAAUUGAGUACCAACUAUAUUCCUGGUAUGAGCCAUUCAAGGAAUGUCCAGUCUAGUGGGCAGACAUACAUGAAAGCAAAUCAUUGCUAUUGGAAGUAUGGUUUAUCAAGAUGUACAGCGUGAAGAAUGGAUAGCUUUACUAACGUAGGUUAGAGUUUUAAAGAUAAAUAGGCAUUUUCUACUACAAAAAUAGGGGUGGGAUGGCAAAUCCGGAUCCGAACAGAAAGGAGAUGCAGCACGGGGACAAAUAAUUUGUUGAGAAGAAUGAGUAAUAAUUACAGGUCUUGAAGUUCAAACUUAGGUUGCUGAAGAAGAUGAGGCUGGAGAAGAAAACAGGAGCCAAAUCACGAAUCGUCUAUGCCUUGGAAUUGCUCCAUUCCAAUAAAAAUAUUUUAAAUUUAAUCAUUGACAACAGUUAAGCUGGCCAUAGGCUGAGGAUUGAGGAUGGUGGGUUGCACAAAUAUCUGCUGAAUGGAGAGCUAGAAGGAGGAUGACUUCAAGAAGAGUCAGCAAUAGGAACGCAAUGAAAGACAACCUCAAAUUCAUUAGUCAGCCUGUCUCAGCUGCUUUUUGGUGGCUCACAGCUAUGCUAACCUAGCAUAAAGCAGUGAGAAAUAGAAUACUUCAUUUUGAGCAGAGCUUCAGAAAACCACAAAUAGUAAAAGCCCUAUAAAUAAUAGCUACAGCUGCAAACCAAAGACUAAUUAUUAGUUUUUAACUCUAUAUC